Molecule: long non-coding RNA, 467 nt
Organism: Xenopus tropicalis (tropical clawed frog)
Lineage: Eukaryota; Metazoa; Chordata; Amphibia; Anura; Pipidae
Exons: 2
Source: RefSeq, a predicted model, not a curated record
AAGAAUCCAGAUUCUGGUGUAUGAGAACCAGGUUAUAAAGUGAGACCCUCAGUGCUGGUCAUCGGGGCUCUACAAUAAACCCAUCCAGGCCCUUGGGAUAAAGGAAAUGAUUGAAUGACUGCGCUCUUUUCAUCUCUCCAUUUUACAAAGCAAAGAAGUUCGCUCAAAGUAGUCCUUGGGAUCUGGGAUAGCUUUGUAAGUUCCACUGCUCUCCUGCCUGCAGAAAUCUUUUCUUGCCCAGUUCAAAUGCUGAAACGGUGCAAUUCAUAGGGACGCAAGCGGUCACAAUUUUAUUGACAAAAAGGAUUUGAUAAAAUGCCUGCAAACGUUGUUUUAUUACCAUGUCAAUGAUGUAGGCUUCACAAGCAUGCUAAAAAGGCCUUUCGUAUCUAGAACUCUUCUCCUUUAUUUUGCUCCGGUACUGAAAAAAAAAUACAGUUGAUUAAAAGAAAUUGUCAUAUGGGAAA